UUCUUUAUUCCGAUAGACUAGUGUAAACACCUCCUAAUAAAAAUACCUAUUCAUUGAAUUUUUUUACAAGUGUAGUACUGUACUGAAAUUGGAUAAGUUGUUGAAGAUAUUAAAAAAAAUAUUAAUAAGGAAAAUGAAAGUGGUGUUAUUGAGUGUAAAUCAUAUUUUUUGUACUAUUAUAUAAUUAUAUUCAAUGAACUCAACUUUUGGGAAGUAAUAAGACAAAUUAUUAUGCGCUUCCUUUUUACUGUUUGCAAAACUGGAGUUAUUUCAUAUUGAACAUAUCGUUUUUGAAAUUUUUAAUCAGGAGCAUAUGAGAUAAAACUACGUAUUUAUUUAUAAGUAAAGUUUCGUGUAACCUUGUAGUAAUGAUGGAAGUAUCUAAUGAAAUAAAAGAAGAUAUUCGUAAAACUCAAUCGGACUUGAAAAACGCGAUACGAGUUCAUCAGAUUUGGGUUGCGCGAUUACAAGAAGACGAGAAUAAUAUUCAUCUAAA
Manduca sexta (tobacco hornworm) is the source of this 496-nucleotide long non-coding RNA. RefSeq lists it as uncharacterized. The record is from RefSeq and is a predicted model, not a curated record. The transcript is spliced from 3 exons. NCBI's taxonomy places the organism in Eukaryota, Metazoa, Arthropoda, Insecta, Lepidoptera, Sphingidae.